This 528-nucleotide ribosomal RNA is filed under the name uncultured bacterium. Its description in RNAcentral is "bacterial SSU rRNA". It matches the Rfam family "Bacterial small subunit ribosomal RNA", at positions 777 to 1304 of the family's 1533-position model. The record is from RNAcentral.
AAUAGAUACCCCGGUAGUCCACGCCGUAAACGAUGAGUGCUAAGUGUUAGAGGGUUUCCGCCCUUUAGUGCUGAAGUUAACGCAUUAAGCACUCCGCCUGGGGGAGUACGGCCGCAAGGCUGAAACUCAAAGGAAUUGACGGGGGCCCGCACAAGCGGUGGAGCAUGUGGUUUAAUUCGAAGCAACGCGAAGAACCUUACCAGGUCUUGACAUCCUCUGAAAACCCUAGAGAUAGGGCUUCUCCUUCGGGAGCAGAGUGACAGGUGGUGCAUGGUUGUCGUCAGCUCGUGUCGUGAGAUGUUGGGUUAAGUCCCGCAACGAGCGCAACCCUUGAUCUUAGUUGCCAUCAUUAAGUUGGGCACUCUAAGGUGACUGCCGGUGACAAACCGGAGGAAGGUGGGGAUGACGUCAAAUCAUCAUGCCCCUUAUGACCUGGGCUACACACGUGCUACAAUGGACGGUACAAAGAGCUGCAAGACCGCGAGGUGGAGCUAAUCUCAUAAAACCGUUCUCAGUUCGGAUUGUAGG